This 312-nucleotide ribosomal RNA is filed under the name Pituna poranga. Its description in RNAcentral is "partial 12S ribosomal RNA". The record is from RNAcentral. Lineage: Eukaryota; Metazoa; Chordata; Actinopteri; Cyprinodontiformes; Rivulidae.
GGAUAUUACAAGCAUAAGCUCAAAAACCAAAGGAUUUGGCGGCGCUUUAGACCCACCUAGAGGAGCCUGUCCUAGAAUCGACAAUCCCCGCUAAACCUCACCUUCUCUAAUAGCCUACAUACCGCCGUCGUCAGUCUACCCUUUGGGGGAUUAACAGUUAACAAAAUCGGUUUAACCCAACAUGCCAGGUCAAGGUAUAGCAAACGAGAAGGGAAGAGAUGGGCUACAUUUCCUACCUAGGAAAAACGGAGAGUGUUUUGAAAAAAAUACAUCAAAGCUGGAUUUAGAAGUAAGUAAAAAAUAGAGAGUUUU